RNAcentral lists this unclassified non-coding RNA (453 nucleotides) under Hevea brasiliensis (rubber tree). The record is from RNAcentral. Lineage: Eukaryota; Viridiplantae; Streptophyta; Magnoliopsida; Malpighiales; Euphorbiaceae.
GAUCUCAUCCAAGGACAUGUAUGAAACCUGGUUAUAAAGAUGGUAGAACACACUUUGUGCAGCUAACCACCAGGCGAUCUGAGGACCAAUCUCCGCAACGGCCCUCUCCCAACCAGCAGCCCACAUUGUAGGCCCUUCCACAGCGAUAGCAAAGGGCGUCAGGAUCACAAGAGAUAGCAUAGACAGGCAAGCAUAGUAGUUCAUCCCGCUGACCGAUUUCCCUUUACUCCCCGACAUCCCUUUUUUGGAGAAUAUAUUUCUGAACACAAAAGCAACGUUUGAUAUCAUCGCGCCCAUAAACCCUGUCAUGUUAAAGUUAAGCUCAGUCGCCGCCGCGAGACCGCAGCCUCCAAUAAUCGGCACCAGCGACAAGUACACCGGUAGAGGGAACGACUCCCCCAACAAAAACCUAGACACCAGCACGCUGAACGCCGGUUCAGCACUCUUAAUUAU